UACGUAGGGGGCUAGCGUUGUCCGGAAUCAUUGGGCGUAAAGAGCGUGUAGGCGGCCUGGUAAGUCCGCUGUGAAAGUCCAGGGCUCAACCCUGGAAUGCCGGUGGAAACUGUCAGGCUCGAGUCCGGAAGAGGCGAGUGGAAUUCCUGGUGUAGCGGUGAAAUGCGCAGAUAUCAGGAGGAACACCUAUUGCGAAGGCAGCUCGCUGGGACGUUACUGACGCUGAGACGCGAAAGCGUGGGGAGCAAACAGG
This 253-nucleotide ribosomal RNA is filed under the name uncultured bacterium. RNAcentral describes it as "partial 16S ribosomal RNA". It matches the Rfam family "Bacterial small subunit ribosomal RNA", at positions 524 to 776 of the family's 1533-position model. The record is from RNAcentral.